ACUCCUACGGGAGGCAGCAGUGGGGAAUAUUGCACAAUGGGCGCAAGCCUGAUGCAGCCAUGCCGCGUGUGUGAAGAAGGCCUUCGGGUUGUAAAGCACUUUCAGUCGUGAGGAAGGCGGGUACGUUAAUAGCGUAUUCGUUUGACGUUAGCGACAGAAGAAGCACCGGCUAACUCCGUGCCAGCAGCCGCGGUAAUACGGAGGGUGCGAGCGUUAAUCGGAAUUACUGGGCGUAAAGCGCAUGCAGGUGGUUUGUUAAGUCAGAUGUGAAAGCCCGGGGCUCAACCUCGGAAUAGCAUUUGAAACUGGCAGACUAGAGUACUGUAGAGGGGGUUAGAAUUUCAGGUGUAGCGGUGAAAUGCGUAGAGAUCUGAAGGAAUACCGGUGGCGAAGGCGGCCCCUGGACAGAUACUGACACUCAGAUGCGAAAGCGUGGGAGCAAACGAGGAUUAGAUACCCCGUGGUAGGACAGUG
This 474-nucleotide ribosomal RNA is filed under the name uncultured bacterium. Its description in RNAcentral is "bacterial SSU rRNA". It matches the Rfam family "Bacterial small subunit ribosomal RNA", at positions 335 to 799 of the family's 1533-position model. The record is from RNAcentral.